CGGGACGGGUGAGUAACGCGUGGGUAACCUACCCUGUACACACGGAUAACAUACCGAAAGGUAUGCUAAUACGGGAUAAUAUAUUUGAGAGGCAUCUCUUGAAUAUCAAAGGUGAGCCAGUACAGGAUGGACCCGCGUCUGAUUAGCUAGUUGGUAAGGUAGCGGCUUACCAAGGCGACGAUCAGUAGCCGACCUGAGAGGGUGAUCGGCCACAUUGGAACUGAGACACGGUCCAA
Molecule: ribosomal RNA, 236 nt
Filed under: uncultured bacterium
Lineage: Bacteria
Description: partial 16S ribosomal RNA
Rfam family: Bacterial small subunit ribosomal RNA
Source: RNAcentral